CAAAUACUCCCUCUGUCCCAAAUUUCUUGUCUUAGAUUUGUCUAGAUACGGAUGUAUCUAAUACUAAAAUGUGACUUGAUACAUCCGUAUCUAGACAAAUCUAAGACAGUAUCUAGACAAAUCUAAGACAAGAAUUCCGGGAUGGAGGGAGUACUUU
This is a non-coding RNA of Triticum urartu, 157 nucleotides long. The record is from Rfam. Lineage: Eukaryota; Viridiplantae; Streptophyta; Magnoliopsida; Poales; Poaceae.